AGUGAACGCUGGCGGUAGGCCUAACACAUGCAAGUCGAACGGCAGCACAGUAAGAGCUUGCUCUUACGGGUGGCGAGUGGCGGACGGGUGAGGAAUACAUCGGAAUCUACUUUUUCGUGGGGGAUAACGUAGGGAAACUUACGCUAAUACCGCAUACGACCUACGGGUGAAAGCAGGGGAUCUUCGGACCUUGCGCGAUUGAAUGAGCCGAUGUCGGAUUAGCUAGUUGGCGGGGUAAAGGCCCACCAAGGCGACGAUCCGUAGCUGGUCUGAGAGGAUGGUCAGCCACACUGGAACUGAGACACGGUCCAGACUCCUACGGGAGGCAGCAGUGGGGAAUAUUGGACAAUGGGCGCAAGCCUGACCCAGCCAUCCCGCGUGGGUGAAGAAGGCCUUCGGGUUGUAAAGCCCUUUUGUUGGGAAAGAAAAGCAGCAGGUUAAUACCCCGCUGUUCUGACGGUACCCAAAGAAUAAGCACCGGCUAACUUCGUG
This 492-nucleotide ribosomal RNA is filed under the name uncultured bacterium. RNAcentral describes it as "partial 16S ribosomal RNA". It matches the Rfam family "Bacterial small subunit ribosomal RNA", at positions 29 to 507 of the family's 1533-position model. The record is from RNAcentral.